ACGACAGAAACAUUCACGUCUUCUUACUACCGUCAGGUUACCUACCUUUUCUUUCCGUGCGUAAUGGAGAAGAGUCAUUGGUCUCAAAAAUAUUGAAACUGUUUUAAUAUUAUUUAUCCUUAUCUGUAACUUUUAAAGUCUGCCGCAUGACUGAUACGCUGGUUUCGAGGUUGAGGGCAAGUGAAAGAGGAUCGCAAAAAAAAAUCAUCGCCAUCUCUACUACAGGCAUUUUUUAAAUCUCAAAUGAUUGAGUGCCAACAAGCAUUGAAAUGCCUUACACGCGGGUUUGAUGGAUAUUGCCAUGAAGACUGCCGAAGUUGGCCAUCGUACGGAAACCUAGAAAUGGCGUGAGUUCCACAUCAAACAUGUAUUAGAAUUUUAGUGGAGGAAUUUUUUGUUAAACAUGCUUGAUGUACACAAAAAUUUUCUGUUCAGAGCCUUAUGCAAUGGUUUUCAUUUCCAAUUUGUAUGUUCUUUCGCAAGCAUCUGCCAGAAGUUUUAUAUGAAUGCCAAACAGUGAAUC
Daphnia carinata is the source of this 523-nucleotide long non-coding RNA. RefSeq lists it as uncharacterized. Lineage: Eukaryota; Metazoa; Arthropoda; Branchiopoda; Diplostraca; Daphniidae. The record is from RefSeq and is a predicted model, not a curated record. The transcript is spliced from 3 exons.